CCUACGGGAGGCAGCAGUGAGGAAUAUUGGUCAAUGGACGCAAGUCUGAACCAGCCAUGCCGCGUGCAGGAAGACGGCUCUAUGAGUUGUAAACUGCUUUUGUACGAGGGUAAAUCCCGAUACGUGUAUCGGGGUGAAAGUAUCGUACGAAUAAGGAUCGGCUAACUCCGUGCCAGCAGCCGCGGUAAUACGGAGGAUUCAAGCGUUAUCCGGAAUUAUUGGGUUUAAAGGGUGCGUAGGCGGUUCGUGAAGUUAGAGGCGAAAUCCCUGGGCUCAACUCCGGCCCUGCCUCUGAUACUGUCGGGGUAGAGUGUAGUUGCGGUAGGCGGAAUGUAUGGUGUAGCGGUGAAAUGCAUAGAGAUCAUACAGAACACCGAUUGCGAAGGCAGCUUACCAAACUACGACUGACGUUGAGGCACGAAAGCGUGGGGAGCAAACAGGAUUAGAUACCCGGGUAGUC
Molecule: ribosomal RNA, 460 nt
Filed under: uncultured bacterium
Lineage: Bacteria
Description: partial 16S ribosomal RNA
Rfam family: Bacterial small subunit ribosomal RNA
Source: RNAcentral